GACGAACGCUGGCGGCGUGCUUAACACAUGCAAGUCGAACGGAAAGGCCCUGCUUUUGUGGGGUGCUCGAGUGGCGAACGGGUGAGUAACACGUGAGUAACCUGCCCUUGACUUUGGGAUAACUUCAGGAAACUGGGGCUAAUACCGGAUAGGAGCUCCUGCUGCAUGGUGGGGGUUGGAAAGUUUCGGCGGUUGGGGAUGGACUCGCGGCUUAUCAGCUUGUUGGUGGGGUAGUGGCUUACCAAGGCUUGGACGGGUAGCCGGCCUGAGAGGGUGACCGGCCACAUUGGGACUGAGAUACGGCCCAGACUCCUACGGGAGGCAGCAGUGGGGAAUAUUGCACAAUGGGCGGAAGCCUGAUGCAGCAACGCCGCGUGCGGGAUGACGGCCUUCGGGUUGUAACCCGCUUUCGCCUGUGACGAAGCGUGAGUGACGGUAAUGGGUAAAGAAGCACCGGCUAACUACGUG
RNAcentral lists this ribosomal RNA (468 nucleotides) under uncultured bacterium. RNAcentral's name for it is "partial 16S ribosomal RNA". It matches the Rfam family "Bacterial small subunit ribosomal RNA", at positions 28 to 507 of the family's 1533-position model. The record is from RNAcentral.